This 1031-nucleotide long non-coding RNA is filed under the name Mus spicilegus (steppe mouse). RNAcentral describes it as "lncRNA (ENSMSIG00000016085.1)". The record is from RNAcentral. Lineage: Eukaryota; Metazoa; Chordata; Mammalia; Rodentia; Muridae.
CUCCCCCCACGCGUCUAACGCGAAGCAGUUCCUGGCCUGGCCCUGCGGCGAGGCUAUCCCCGCUCAGAGUGCGUGGGCGCAGGAGACCAGCCUGUCCCUUCCCCCGCAGCUGCACCGAGCCACAGCAGUCAUAGGGAAUUGGGGACAUGAGACUGACUGUGCAUCCUCGGAAUGGAGGUGUAGCCAAGUCAGGAGGGAGAGGCCACCCUGGAAGAUGGUGGCAUUGAAGAAAACACUGGGAAGGAGUCCAACGUUCAAAGGACCUUUAAAGCUCUCUGGUCUCUGCAUUAAAAGAAAUAAGGGCUGUACCAAUGGACACGCUGCUGGGCGUCUGUACGGAGCUUCCUGGGAGUCAUUCACCCUGCCUUUCUGAUUAAGCUCAUAAAUGUGAAUGGGAACAGCCUAGAGUGAGCCACAUGAACCCAACCCACAUCAGCUCUGUCUCAGAGGUUCUAGGUUAUUGAUCCUGAAGACUGAACCUGUGGAGUAAAAGAGGAGUGAGGGGACCAGGUUUAUGGAGAACAGACAGGGGCAGGCCAAGGAGGAGAUGGCCAGGGUCUCUGAAGACAGACUGUGUCAUAGUUACCCUUCUGUUGCUGUGAAGAGACAUGUGACCGAUGGAGCACGUACCGAGACUCUCAGCAUCGGAUGGGGUGAAGAAACAAAAGAAAUCCAAAGACAGAAACGACAGGAAAUGAGGAUAUUGAAAACUGACACUACUAUAUCUACAUUUGGUUUAGGUUUUUUUUUUUUCCUUUUUGGAAGUUGUAUGUAAGAGAAAAAAAAUCACAAAAUGCUUUCAUUUCUCUGUGAUUGAGCAAACUCGUAAAAUAUUAAAGUAUUGAUUAAUAAUUGAUUAGAACUAACCUCACUGGAGCCAAUCAACCAUUUGGCAGGAUCGCUUUAAACUUUUAGGGGCUUUUAGCCCCCCUGGCUUCUAACCUUCCUCUUGUCUGAUUCAUUCAGGACUGAGCAGCGCUUCAGUCUGUUGGACAUGUGAUGUCACACUAUCCCUAUAGAACUGUGAGGUG